UACGUAGGGUGCGAGCGUUAAUCGGAAUUACUGGGCGUAAAGCGUGCGCAGGCGGUUCGUCGUGUCCGAUGUGAAAGCCCCGGGCUCAACCUGGGAAUUGCAUUCGAGACUGCGUAGCUAGGGUGCGGAAGAGGGAAGCGGAAUUUCCGGUGUAGCGGUGAAAUGCGUAGAUAUCGGAAGGAACACCAGUGGCGAAAGCGGCUUCCUGGUCCAGCACCGACGUUCAGGCACGAAAGCGUGGGGAGCAAACAGG
Molecule: ribosomal RNA, 253 nt
Filed under: uncultured bacterium
Lineage: Bacteria
Description: partial 16S ribosomal RNA
Rfam family: Bacterial small subunit ribosomal RNA
Source: RNAcentral